UACGUAGGGUGCAAGCGUUAAUCGGAAUUACUGGGCGUAAAGCGUGCGUAGUCGGUUAUCUAAGUCAGGUGUGAAAUCCCCGGGCUCAACCUGGGAAUUGCAUUUGAUACUGGAUAGCUAGAGUUCGGAAGAGGCGAGUGGAAUUCCCGGUGUAGCGGUGAAAUGCGCAGAUAUCGGGAGGAACACCAAUGGCGAAGGCAGCCCCCUGGGUCAACACUGACGCUCAUGCACGAAAGCGUGGGGAGCAAACAGG
This 253-nucleotide ribosomal RNA is filed under the name uncultured bacterium. Its description in RNAcentral is "partial 16S ribosomal RNA". It matches the Rfam family "Bacterial small subunit ribosomal RNA", at positions 524 to 776 of the family's 1533-position model. The record is from RNAcentral.